GAACCCUUGGCGCAGUGGUAGCGCGCCGUUCUUAUAUUUACAUUCUCUUUAGAGGAGUCGAUAUGAAUAACUUCAUCAAGUGAUGCGGAUGUCGCGAGUUCGAACCUCGCAGGGUUCA
This 118-nucleotide transfer RNA is filed under the name Ramalina farinacea. It matches the Rfam family "tRNA". Rfam says of the family: Transfer RNA (tRNA) molecules are approximately 80 nucleotides in length. Lineage: Eukaryota; Fungi; Ascomycota; Lecanoromycetes; Lecanorales; Ramalinaceae. The record is from Rfam by way of RNAcentral.